AGCAGUACCGUGAGGGAAAGGUGAAAAGAACCCCGGGAGGGGAGUGAAAUAGAACCUGAAACCGUGUGCCUACAACCGCUCAGAGCCCCUUAUGAGGGUGAUGAGGUGCUUUUUGUAGAACGAGCCAACGAGUUACGGUAUGUAGCAAGGUUAAGUACUUAAGGUACGGAGCCGAAGGGAAACCGAGUCUGAAUAGGGCGACUAGUUGCAUGCCGUAGACCCGAAACCGGGUGACCUAUCCAUGGCCAGGUUGAAGCGAGGGUAAAACCUCGUGGAGGACCGAACCACGUUGCUGUUGAAAAAGCAUGGGAUGAGCUGUGGAUAGCGGAGAAAUUCCAAUCGAACCCGGAGAUAGCUGGUUCUCUCCGAAAUAGCUUUAGGGCUAGCGUCGAGUAUGAGUAGUGGAGGUAGAGCACUGAAUGGGCUAGGGGGCAUAGCGCUUACCGAACCUUAUCAAACUCCGAAUGCCACAUACUUUGAGCUCGGCAGUCAGACUACGAAUGAUAAGAUCCGUGGUCAAAAGGGAAACAGCCCAGAUCGUCAGCUAAGGUCCCAAAGUGUAAGUUAAGUGGGAAAGGAUGUGAGAUUUCUAAGACAACUAGGAUGUUGGCUUAGAAGCAGCCAUUCAUUAAAAGAGUGCGUAAUAGCUCACUAGUCGAGAGAUCUUGCGCCGAAAAUGUAACGGGGCUAAACUUACCACCGAAGCUACGGGCUUGAAC
This 719-nucleotide ribosomal RNA is filed under the name Clostridium perfringens. RNAcentral's name for it is "partial 23S ribosomal RNA". It matches the Rfam family "Bacterial large subunit ribosomal RNA", at positions 494 to 1213 of the family's 2925-position model. Lineage: Bacteria; Bacillati; Bacillota; Clostridia; Eubacteriales; Clostridiaceae. The record is from RNAcentral.